AGGUGACAGAGUGAGACUCUGUCUCAAAAUAAAUAAAUAAAUAAAAAUUAAAAAAAUAAAUUCCUUAAGUCUAAUGCCAAAGUGUGCUGUUCUUAAAAAUUAAACUGUAACUGUAAAGAAAGCUGCUUCUUUCUUAAUAACACUAGUCAGUCUGGACUCAACGUUCAGACUCCUGUCCCUAAGAUUCAGCAAUCACUUGGAGAAUCUGAUUCCCUCCAAGGUUGGGAGGGAAGGAAGUGCUGCUUCCAGUCUAAUGCCUGAGCCAAUGCACACACUAAGCCAAGACUGGAACAUUUAUACAAGACCAGUGAGUGCCACAGAAACUAACAUACAAAGUGUUUUAGGUAAUCUGAGUUACAAGGCACUGUAGAUUCAUUUUUGGUUCCUUGAUCAUAUAAAGGUGAGUAUUAGAAGAUCUAUUAUUGAUUUGCCAGGGAAGCGUUAGAACAUCACAUCUCUGUGUACUAAUUUCCUCAUAUGCUAAGUAACAAUGUUUUUAAAAACUGCUUUAAAGAGGAGCGAUUUAAGUGAAUGAGUAUAAACGACAGCAUGAAGUAGUAUAUAAACACAAACUAACUGCUUUUAUUGUGACUACUUUUUGGCAGCACUUCCUCUGAAGAAAAACUAAACAGAAUUUUUUUCUAGAAAUCUUUCUCUGUUGAAGAUAACAUUGCUGAAAAAUCUAAUGAUUUUGUGCAUGUAUGCCAAUACGUACAAGGACUGAUUCUUCUAACAGUAGAGUCAUAAGUUUUUCUCUUGAUCUUUUCAGUUUUUGCCAAGUGUGCAUCGAUGUUUCUCUUUUCUUGCUGCUUUUUCUCCCUGCCUUUAAACAAAAAUUUUUUUCCCUCAAAAUCUAGCUCGGACUCCCUUUCUCUCUUCACACUCCUUUGAGUAAUCUCAUGUAGUCACAAAACUGUGUAACAAUUCCCAUCAGACAGCUUUAAACUUGUAUUUCCUUUUCCCUGCUUAACACCUCUAUCAGAAAUAUCUGAUCAUUCACUAUUCCUUUAAAAAGAAAACAACAACAACAACAACAACAACAACAACAAAAGAAUUAUCUGAAAAAUCAGAUCCUCACCUUUGCUUUUUUCUUAUCAACAAUGGCAUCAACCAUCUUGGUUAUCUGGGUCAAAAAUCACUAAAUUGUCUCUGAUCCUGCUUUCUCUUUAAAGCCCUCAUGGAUAGUGAGUUGCAAAAUUUCAUAGAUUCUAGCUGGGUUUUUUUUUCCCCCAAUUUCUCCCCUUUCCAUUCCACCAACACUACACUAUUACAGAGCCUAAUCUCAGCCUGGAGAGUUACAGUCAUCUCCUAAUUUGUCUCUUCACUUUCUAUUAAUUGCCACUUCAAUUCAGAGUGGAUUUGCUUAAAUUACUGCUACUUUAAAGCAAUCAGUGGCUCCCUAGUGCCUCGUUCUGGCAUACAGGAUCCUCCACACUAAUGGCUCAAACCAACAUGUCCAGCUAAAUAUCACUGCUCCCCUAUACAUAUCUAUGUUCCAUCCAAAUCCAACUUACAUUCCUUAGACAUGCCUGGCAUUUUGGGGGAAGAGAGGACUUAAGUAUUUACCUUGUCUCUGCUUCUUGUCCUAUCUAUCCUUCAAGGCCCAUAAAAGUUUCUUUCCUUGAUUUCCCCACAACCUAACGUUGUCCUUCUCUUCUUUGCACUUGACCCUUUGUAACUCUUUGUAUGUUUUUUUUUUUUUCCAAACGUAACUGAUUUUACUAUAACUUACAGCAUAAUUGCUCAUGCCCAGUCUCAUUCCCACCUCUCCCUCAUGAGAUUUUAAAAUUCUUGAGCACAGGAAAGUUGUCAUGCUCAUCUUUGUGGCUUGCUGUACCUAGCCCACACUUUGCAAAUAUGCAUGCUUGAGAAACACUUGAAUUGAGACUCAUGAAAACUGCCUUCCAAUACCUUUUUUGGAAUUCAUCAGAUAUACUGAAUAACUGAAACAUUAUUAAAAAAUGAGGCCAUCACUACAAUGACAUAUUACUUGGUCCUAGGUUUGCAACCAAUUGGGAUAAAGGAAGUCUUGGUUUGAAUCAGUGGUUGAAUCAAGAGUUCUAUCAACAGGUAAAAAUAAUCUUGUUAGUGAUACAGCAGGUGACAAUUUUCCUACCAAGUCAGUCUAUUUAAAAUUUCCACAUGGAAUAGGGGAGCAUGGAGCAGUGAAAGCAGCAACAGAAUUACCCUGAGAAAUUAUCUUGGUAAAGGUGGGAUUGUAUCCUUAGCAUCCUGCUGAAUUUUAAAUUCAGCUAUGCUGUUCUGUCUACUGAAAUGACCCUGGGUAUCCUUCUCGGAAUCCAUCCUAAGGCUGUCGUGUUCACUUUUAAACAACAAUAAACACUGUUUAUUAAACAGUGGCCGUAUUCUCCUCAAAGGUGGAAUAAACAGCUAAUCUCUGUUACAGAGACCAAGCUAGUCUCUGAUGUUACCAAGUGACAAGCCUGAAAGAAACAUGAAGAGCUUGCUGCCCCGCCUCUAGAGAAAAGUUUUUAAUGUAUAUCUCCUUAAAAAUGACUGGGUCUUCUUCUUGACCUCUACAAAAUAAGUACACCACAACAUUUACUUGUUGAAUUAUGUAAAGUUAGCAAACAUAUACAAAAGAUGUUCUAUUAGCAGUGAGACAGCAAGUCUACAAUAGAAUUUGCCCCAGGGCUUUGUGUAAUUGACCUCAAAUUUCAGAAGCAAAGUGAAUAAUCUCUGCUCCGCCCUACUUCCUCAGAUAAGAGUUCAGGUGUCUAAUGGAAGGAUUUAAGGUUUUUAUAAAAGAAGAAUUUUAUAAAGGAACCAAGAAACAGCUAGGUUAUAAAAACUAAUUUGGCAAAAGGAAAAAUGGACAAUGUUUUAAAACCUUAGGGAGACGGGGAAGUGAGCUGGUGGCGCUUUAAUCCCAAAGGAUGUACCUUCCCUCCAUUUCCUGGGCCGUUUCCAUUCCACGCUUAUCUUCAGCAAUAACUGAACCAUAUCCGGAUGAGUCGCUCAUUUAAAAUCAGAACUCUUCCCUGCGGGAUCUACUCCCAGCCAUUGAUUGUGUUCUGUGUUCUACGGGUAGGUGCAGCCAGACCAGGCGCAGACUCCGCGCUGGCGAAGCAGCGCGCGAUCAUGGGGUGCAGGGGUCAACCCGGAGGUCUCGGCCUCGGGCGGUGGGCCGCUCGCCGGCAGCAGGGGGCGCUGCAGAACCUCUGUCCUCACCCUGGAGAACCACUUCCCCGGCUCAGCAGGUCUGCGCCGCCCGCCACCAUCCGACCCCAGGUUCUCUACCUAGUUCUGAGCGUUCUUCCUAAAAAAGACAGUAAGCCCUGCGGCACUCCCAGUGUACGUGACAGGAAAAAUACAGAGCAUCUCACCCUGUGAAACCGAUCACCCUCUUUUUAUCUUCUCUGCGUCUCGCACUGAUUAAAAGCUGUCUCCAAGAUUGGAAAUUAAGAAAAGUUGCUCUUUCUCAUGCAUUAGCGCGCCGACCGCUCCUUCGUUUAGAAAGAGAGAGAGGGGGAGAAAGAAAGAGAAAAAGAGAGCCCCCAUGCCGGGGCGCGAGCCACUCCGCCCGGGAACCGCGGCCAAAGUUACCACUAAAACGGUUCCCCGGCUGCCCGAUGCCCACUCCCUCUCUCAGGGAACCCUAUAGGGCUUCAGUUCCAGUUUCACCCCAACUGUGCCUGACACAGUCAGACGAGGCGCCUGGACAAACCUUCAACCCACACCCUGUAUCGCACUGUCCCCUCCCUACUCCCCACUUCUCUGCCCCCGCCCCCGACGUCCCAGAGCGUCGGAGGGGACCCAAGUUCCCAGCGUGGCUACAUGCUGGGACGCCCGGGAGAAGUUCGGGGUUCAAGUGCGCGCCUGGGUCUGUGCACAUCUUUUAACCUUCCUCGGCCUCCCUAGACAAAGAUGUAGGAAUUUUGAUCCUCCCCAGAAUACUGCACGAAGAGCACCAAGAUCCCAGAAGUCCUGGGUUUGAAUCUCAGCUCUGUCAUUCUAAGGCUGCGUUCUCUUCUUAAACUGUGGGAAGAAAGCUAAUGGAACUCGAGAGCAGGUGAAAUGGAAGGCUAUGUGCAAGUUCUAAGAGAAUAAAAUUUGUUUUCUAAUGUUGCCUCUUUAUCUAGAUUGUUUUUUCAUAACCUGAUUAAAAAUCUCUGUCCUUUUCACCUUCUCCCCUGCCUGAAG
Molecule: non-coding RNA, 4164 nt
Organism: Chlorocebus sabaeus (green monkey)
Lineage: Eukaryota; Metazoa; Chordata; Mammalia; Primates; Cercopithecidae
Source: RefSeq, a predicted model, not a curated record